CCUACGGGAGGCAGCAGUGGGGAAUAUUGGACAAUGGGGGGAACCCUGAUGCAGCGACGCCGCGUGAGUGAAGAAGUAUUUCGGUACGUAAAGCUCUAUCAGCAGGGAAGAAGAUGACGGUACCUGACUAAGAAGCCCCGGCUAACUACGUGCCAGCAGCCGCGGUAAUACGUAGGGGGCAAGCGUUAUCCGGAUUUACUGGGUGGAAAGGGAGCGUAGACGGCAGGGCAAGUCUGGAGUGAAAGCCCGGGGCCCAACCCCGGGACUGCUUUGGAAACUGCCAAGCUGGAGUGCUGGAGAGGUAAGCGGAAAUCCUAGGGUAGCCGUGGAAUGCGGAGAUAUUAGGGGGAACACCAGUGGCGAAGGCGGCUUACUGGACAGGAACUGGCGUUGGGGCUCGAAAGCGUGGGGAGCAAACAGGAUUAGAUACCCGGGUAGUC
RNAcentral lists this ribosomal RNA (440 nucleotides) under uncultured bacterium. RNAcentral describes it as "partial 16S ribosomal RNA". It matches the Rfam family "Bacterial small subunit ribosomal RNA", at positions 338 to 795 of the family's 1533-position model. The record is from RNAcentral.